This 470-nucleotide ribosomal RNA is filed under the name Aurantiacibacter sediminis. RNAcentral's name for it is "bacterial SSU rRNA". It matches the Rfam family "Bacterial small subunit ribosomal RNA", at positions 335 to 803 of the family's 1533-position model. The record is from RNAcentral. Lineage: Bacteria; Pseudomonadati; Pseudomonadota; Alphaproteobacteria; Sphingomonadales; Erythrobacteraceae.
UGACCUACGGGUGGCAGCAGUGAGGAAUAUUGGUCAAUGGGCGCAGGCCUGAACCAGCCAAGUAGCGUGAAGGAUGACUGCCCUAUGGGUUGUAAACUUCUUUUAUAUGGGAAUAAAGUUUUCCACGUGUGGAAUUUUGUAUGUACCAUAUGAAUAAGGAUCGGCUAACUCCGUGCCAGCAGCCGCGGUAAUACGGAGGAUCCGAGCGUUAUCCGGAUUUAUUGGGUUUAAAGGGAGCGUAGGUGGACAGUUAAGUCAGUUGUGAAAGUUUGCGGCUCAACCGUAAAAUUGCAGUUGAUACUGGCUGUCUUGAGUACAGUAGAGGUGGGCGGAAUUCGUGGUGUAGCGGUGAAAUGCUUAGAUAUCACGAAGAACUCCGAUUGCGAAGGCAGCUCACUGGACUGCAACUGACACUGAUGCUCGAAAGUGUGGGUAUCAAACAGGAUUAGAUACCCGAGUAGUCGUUCGAC